AUACCUUGAAUCUUUGUGAGUUAUAACCCCCUUCAAGGCCUCAUUAAAGAUCCCAAAAGGCAUUCAACACGUGCCUUCUUGAGGAAAGCUGGAAAUCUUUCAACACUUGACUCCUUCCUCCUUGAGGCUCUUUCUUAAAUGAUGGACAGGCUGGCUGAAUUCCAGGUGUAGAUUAUCAUUCUUGCUUCUGUGAUUUCCAACCUGAUUUCACGGUCUGCAAUGGCUGCUGAGUGAUUUGAGGAUGGAUAGAAAAACCACAUCCUCUAUGUUGCUAGGAAGCUAGUCGUAGCAAGCAGGUUCUGCUCAAGGAAAGCAAACCUGGACCAAAAGCAACAAAAUUCCAGCCUGUGUCUCCUUAUUACUCUCUAUCGCCAACCAACAUCUUCACAAGUCCUAGAGACACUGCAGUUUGCCUGAGGACAAGAUUCCACUCUGGAGGUCCAGCAGUACCAAGUCUUGGGCCAGAGAAGAAGAUGCCUUAAACUCAAAGUAAACCAUCUAUUAUGCUAAGACUACAGUGGUGAGCAAGAAACCCAUAACCUUCAAGAAGGUUCAGCAUGGUGAGAAGAACAGACAAUCAGCCCUGCCUUACAGGGAGGAGGCUUGCAAUCACAGUUUUUCAGUAACUAGCAACAUAACUAAGCUCUGAAAUUUCAAAGUUCAUAUUUUACAUGAAGGGAUUAGAGCAGUAUUUAUAAAGAAGUAAAGAAAAAAGACUGCUUUUGCUAAAGAUAUUAUCUCAUUGAGGAAAUCUUUUCCAUUUCUUUUCUUCUUGGUGAAUCAUCAGCUCUUAAAACCAGAGCUUUGAAUAGUUGGAAAGGAAAAUCCUCUAUCUUCCUUACAUUAGAGGUAAGCCUUUCUCUAUUGAAAAACGAUGAAUGUUGAAACUGGCCCUGCUGGAGCGAAGCCCUGAUGCGAGAUUUCCCCCUCUUCCUGAAGAUGAGCCAGGCACUUAUUCACACAGUUAUUUAAUAUAAAUGUGGACUUCCACCAACUACGUGACUCCUUUUCAUUGUUAUAAACUGCUGUUGCCUGUGCAUCAGUGGCAGAGUUUUUACUGAUUAUGCUGUUGUUUUUCCUCGUCUUAGAUCAGAGCCCAGACUAUUUGCUCAUUCCGGAGGAGUGAAGGAGCUGCCAGAUCAGAUGCUGCCAGCAGCUCUCUGUCAGCCAGGAGAUGAAGGGGCUGCUCGGCGGCGGGCUGGGCUCGCGCAGCUGUUUCAGCUGCUCUUCACUCUGAAGUUCAGGGCAUGUGUCUCCCACUACCUGUCUUUCAAACAAGUCAGCUUCCUAUGUGGAAAGAUCUCUAAAUCCCCCCAAAUCCAAAAGAGUGGUUCAUAUUAUAAUUGUGCUUGAUUCUUCAACCUACGGCAGAACAUGAGGCUCACUCUCACUUAUCCCACCCAUUUCCCUGGGCACAUUCAAAAUGCUUGCGUUUCAGCUACACAUAUUUAUACCAGACAGAACUGCGGCGCAUCUGCUGUAAAACAACUCAUGGUAUAUCGUUAUGUCUUGCAGCACGGAGGAUGGUGUGUUUUACUGGAAAGGACACCAGACCAGAAUUUAAAUGAUCUGCGUUACAGUCCUGGCUCUGUGAUGGAUUAGCUGUGUGACCUUGGGCAAAGACGUUCUGUCUCAGCCUCAGUUUUUUCAAUUUCAGAAGCAGAUGGUUGUUCAGGUGAUCACUAAAGUUCCUUUUAGCACUGAUUCUAUGAUUUCUAAAUGGGCGAUUACAGCAACAGCUACAAUGAAUUGAACACACACUUUUGGCUAGACACUAGUUAAAGUUAUUUACAUGGAUUAAAUUAUUUACUCUUCAAACCAGCCCGUGGAUGAAGUAAAUGCUGCCUUUGCUUCACAAAGGAGGAAAGUAACGCUAAAUAAAUUCUCAGGGUCCCGUUAGUAAGGGCAGAGCUGAUGCUCAAACAUUUCUAUCCCAUAUCAGAGUCAGACCACUAAGGUGUUACGAAAAGAACUCUAAUGGCCCUGGAGAACUAGACUCCAAGGGACUCAGGUGGUCCCAGAAUUAAUUCCCUGAGUCUAGAAUUUUCAUAGUAUUUCUGAAAUAUCUACCAUCCAAUCCCCUCUUCCAUGAUAAGAUGGUGUUGGACUUGGACUCAUUGGAAUUUUAGAUGCACUUUUUUAUGACUUCCUUAGAAGUUUUAUGUAAAAGGAAAAUAGCCUUUUUCCCCCAUGAACAUCUCAGUUUGGAAUGUUGCUUAUGAAUUAACAGAGAGAAUGGCCAUUAGAAUUAAUCUUGUUGUUACAUAUACUUGCUAUACGAGGGUUAAUCCUUUUUCAAUUAUUGAAAGCAUAAAAUGCGUGAGAUACUAGAAUAAAUACUUUUAAACAAUAAUUACUAGCAUUUUUGGAGGAAGAAUUGGUCAAUAAAUAGUUUUUAUUCCCUACGUUUUUGCUUUCUGGUA
Long non-coding RNA from Equus caballus (horse), 2423 nucleotides. The record is from Ensembl. Lineage: Eukaryota; Metazoa; Chordata; Mammalia; Perissodactyla; Equidae.